CCUACGGGAGGCAGCAGUCGGGAAUAUUGCGCAAUGGAGGAAACUCUGACGCAGUGACGCCGCGUGCAGGAAGAAGGCUUUCGGAUUUGAAACUGCUUUAGAUAGGGGAGAAAAAAGACAGUACCUGUAGAAUUAGCUCCGGCUAACUACGUGCCAGCAGCCGCGGUAAUACGUAGGGAGCAAACGUUAUCCGGAUUUAUUGGGUGUAAAGGGUGCGUAGACGGAGAAGCAAGUUAGUUGUGAAAUCCCUCGGCUUAACUGAGGAACUACAACUAAAACUACUUCCCUUGAGUACUGGAGAGGAAGGUGGAAUUCCUGGUGUAGCGGUGAAAUGCGUAGAUAUUAGGAAGAACACCAGUGGCGAAGGCGACUUUCUAGACAGUAACUGACGUUGAGGCACGAAAGUGUGGGGAGCAAACAGGAUUAGAUACCCUGGUAGUC
RNAcentral lists this ribosomal RNA (441 nucleotides) under uncultured bacterium. RNAcentral describes it as "partial 16S ribosomal RNA". It matches the Rfam family "Bacterial small subunit ribosomal RNA", at positions 338 to 795 of the family's 1533-position model. The record is from RNAcentral.